GCAGCAGUAGCUGAGUGAUAGAGCCCCCGCUUCGCAUGCGGGGAGACCUGGGUUCGAUUACUGGCUGCUUCC
RNAcentral lists this transfer RNA (72 nucleotides) under Toxocara canis (dog roundworm). It matches the Rfam family "tRNA". Rfam says of the family: Transfer RNA (tRNA) molecules are approximately 80 nucleotides in length. Their secondary structure includes four short double-helical elements and three loops (D, anti-codon, and T loops). The record is from Rfam by way of RNAcentral. Lineage: Eukaryota; Metazoa; Nematoda; Chromadorea; Rhabditida; Toxocaridae.